CCAAAUUUGACCUGAAACACAUGAACUCCAAAUUCCAAACAAGCCAACAAACACAAACACAAACACGUUCUCAUCUUUCUUUACCCAAGGUUUGGCCACCAAACAGUCAAACACAUACCUUCUCCUUCUCGGCUCCGCCUUCUUCUCCGACGACUAUGCCUUUGCUCACGUCGCCAUUCGUCCAUUCGUCGCCGAAAACCCCUCAGGUCCAUGCUUCCAUUGAUUUCUUGAUCCGCGAGGAGCUUCGGCGUCCUUCUUCUUUGUUGAAUUUUCCUGUUGAUUUUUUUCCAAAUUCGAUUGACUAUGGUGGUGGUGAAGGAGGAGGCGGGUGCUCUUUUAGGGCUCUGUUUGAGGUCGCUCUCUUCGUUCGAGUUUGCUUCUUUUUGAGCUGCGCAGGGCUCGAAUUGUUUUCCUUGGGAGCGAUUCGGUCUCUUUCUGUGGAGAAUUGGCUCUUGUGGUAGGCUGUGCUGGGAGGGUGGGGGGAUUGGAUUGGUCCUUACUACGCGUCUGGAGUCGCGUCGCGCGGGGUUUCGGGUUCUCGAAAGAACGUCGAGAAACGAUGCGCCGUCUUUUUAAAGCAGUUCGAAUUCUUGCGGCGGAUGGGUUAAUCCGUCUUUUUUUUUGGCUUCUGUUUGGAAGGAAAUCUUGGGACUCUAGGCUGAGCUGAGGUAGUGAUGUAGGCAUUCUUGAGUUUAUGCGGUCUAGCUGUGUUUCGGUAUUGUUCUUAGCAUGUGGGCUAGCCUUUGCUGGUGAUGGGGUAGUAGUAGGUAACCCCAUAUGAUCUUAGAGAUGUUGGGAAGACUUGUUAUAUUAGGUGGUGGAUGAAACUAGAGGUUCUGUGAUGUAGAUAUUUUAGUGCACAAGUUGCAAACAGAGUUCAGGACACUUAGAAUUUACUCUGUGCGGGAGAGCUGUUGGUGUCUGCUCUGUAUCUUGAAAGGAUUCCAUCCAUCAUAAACAAAUUGUCCAUUGUAAUUUUUUUUUUAAAUAAAUGAUCAAAUCAUGUCAUAGGCAUACUCAUUUGAUGCUAAUUUUUCAAUGUAAGCAUGAUUGGAAUAUACCUCAGGUGCAUAUGACUUUGCUAACAGAGCCACUGCGUGUUUUCAAGAAUUAACUCCUAAUCAACUCCAAGCAGGUCAGACAUUGGAGCCUCUCAGUCGUUUUACUAUAUUUUCUUACUAGUCACAAAAGGUACUUGAUAGGCUGUCAAUGCAUGGAAAGAGGAUAACGUUUCAUCACUGGUUGAUAAGAAGAAUCCUGACAUACUUUCAAUUUCCUAUUAGCUCUUAGCAAGAAAUUCUCUGUGAAAAAGAAGAAAGGAAAGCUUUGGAAGGCAUGGGAUGGGAGCAAAGUCAUCUAUAACGUAGCAUCCUGGGGGGCAACAACCAUUGGGACCUAUCAGAACCCAGUACUUCUUAGGGCUGCCUCAAAUGCCUUUUGGACUUCUUGUCAUGUUAUAUCAAAGCUUCUCUGAUCUUCACGAUCUGCCUGAAGAGAAGCUUAAUUAGUUCAUUCCAUGCCCAUGCUGCCAAUGCAGCCUGAUGUUGUCCACCUUGUUUGACAUUAGUGCAUUAAUUAGGCUUUCCAGUUUGAUUUAUUACCCUCUAGUGUCACCAAAAUCAUGUAAAUGAGUAACUGUUCUAUAUUUCAAGUUUGGACACAAAUGCGAUGUAAAAUUUGUCUGUUAUUGAAUGCAGAACUGGUCUUACACUUUCUCUCAGUACUUCGCAGUGUUAAGAACACAUGCACUCAGCAUGAAUCAGGCCUUACAACUCCAUUUACAUACAGUGCCUAUUUGUGUUGCAGAGCCCAUCAGAAACAUACAACUGCCAAGCCAUCCUCCUUGCUUGAUUCAGCUAUGUACCCUCAGUCAUUAUGUGAUUCAAGAUCUUCCAUCUUGAAUUCAGACUCUUUUUACUCUUGAAAAUCUUGAACGCCUCGAGUAUUGUCAUGUCAAGGGGGGACUUGAUCGAUAAUUUUUUUCAUCGAUUGGACCCCCCCGGCAAUAAAUAAUUUCUUUAUUUACUCAGAGAGUCCAUCCAUCUCAUGAAACUCUAUUCAUUGCAUUUUUUUUUUUGGUCGAAAGUAAUAUAUAUGUAUUAUAUUAAGAAGUCUUAGAACACAACGACGAUUUACAAUAUGAUACUAAAAUAUCCCAGAGAGAUAGAGGGGGUAUAUGCACCCAAUUUAAAGGAAGUUUCUUUGCUCGGUGUGUGCGUACCAGCCAAUCGGCAGCUUUGUUUGCCUCCCGGGGACAAUAGUUUACUGAUACGUUUGUGCAUAGGGAAAGCUGUUGUCGGCAACGUUGAAUAAUGUCUUGUAGAUGCCAGGGUAUCUCGGCCCGGCCCAUGACAAAAUCCACCACCGCUAAACUGUCACUUUCACAGAUAAAGUGAACGGCUUGAGUUCGUGCGUCUUGCACGUGAGUCGGCUUCCAGUUUGUGAGGUAACAUAACCUGUGUAGAAGGGCUUCUGCUUCUGCAUGUGCGGAUGAAGAAACCCUAGCUUCCGCUGCAAAGCCGUCGACAACACACCCCUUUUCAUCCCUGGCGAUUCCGGCAACAGAACAAAGGAAUUCUCCUGGUACCCAUGACGCGUCUACGUUCAAUUUUACCUCACGAUUUCCCGGUGGUGUCCGGUCCUCUGAUCAAGGAUAUCCACUGGGUUGGGAGCCUUUGCUCUGAAGAUCGAGGAGUUUCGAGCCUUCCAGAUUUGCCAUAGAACCCCUGCGAUGAACUGCCGAUCAGAGAUUCUCCCUUGUGGGAACGACGUUUUGACAAAUGCUCCAAAGAAAGGUUCGGAUUUUCAGUGGGACAGAGAGACUCCAGAUCUGUGUCCAUAGAGUUCGUGGGGGCUGG
Molecule: long non-coding RNA, 2858 nt
Organism: Eucalyptus grandis
Lineage: Eukaryota; Viridiplantae; Streptophyta; Magnoliopsida; Myrtales; Myrtaceae
Exons: 4
Source: RefSeq, a predicted model, not a curated record